GCCCAUAUGUCAGACAGAUUCCUGUCCUACCACGCUCUGGUCUAAAGGGGUGCCCUGGAUAUAGGGCGCGGGUCUAAAGGGGUGCCCUGGAUAUAGGGCGCGGGUCUAAAGGGGUGCCCUGGAUAUAGGGCAUCAAAGGCAUUGUCGUGGAAAUUCAUACUGAGACAGACUUGGUCAUUUCUUCAAACAAUUAUCUUUAUUUAAUAUUGAUUAGUUAUUGCAAUAAUGAGACUAGUCAACCCCACAGUAUUGACUGUUGGGCCGAGCAGCCUAACCUUUACAGACAUGCAGAGUUCUUCAUAUAGCCGACACUAAGAAUGCUUAGUCAUGGCUGGUUCCACCCCUUCCAUGCAGACCAAGGACCAUCAUAAGUCACUCGGGGUUCAUCCUGUCGUUAUCUACACAGGGUUGUUGUCUUAACCGCACCCUGGCUUAGUUUCCCAGUUGCAAGGAUGAUUUAGAGACAAUGAGGGAUUGUUUUACUCCUAAACUAUCUCUAGUAAAACACAUGAUUCUCUCUGUAAUGCAGUCUUUAACUCAUUUCUCAGCUCAAGCCAUCUCGGGUGACCAUAAGCCCAGGUUAGCUGCUGGGAACUGGAGUGGAGCCCAUGAAAACACAGACACUAGUACAGCAGAAAUGUAUUUAAAGAAGUAUUAAUAUAAAACGCUCACAGCAUUACAUACUGUUUCCAAUCAAACAAAAGGUGAUGUAUAGACCAGUGGUUCCCAACCUUUUCCGUUCUGGGGACCACCACAUCACGGGUAAAUGCUCUUAUUAAGGAUUACCGUUCGCCAAGUCACAGACUUGUUUCCACAUCAAAUAUCUUAGUGUAGAGUCAAUGUAACAGAUUAAAGGCCUAUUUCCAUUGUAAAAUUGCUUAUAAUAUAUAUGUUGAGAAUCGUUUAUGCCAGUGGUUAUCAAAAAUGUCCUUUCUCUAUCAUCCGUGGCGUGCCGCUGUUGGUCAGCUCCAUAUUGAUCUCCUAUUGCGUUGAUGUCAUAUAUCGGCCUCCUCUGCAGCGAUCAGAUUUAAGUAUCUGUCUGUAGAUUUUCCCACUUAGGAUUCGGGUGCCUCCUGAGUGGUGCAACGGUCUAAGGCGUCACGACAGACCUGGGUUCGAUCCAAGGCUGUGUCGCAGGCCAAUGAGGCGUCGCACUAUUGGCCCAGUGUCGUCCGGGUUCGGGGAUGUCCUCGUCUCAUCGUGCUCAAGCGACUCCUGUGGCGGUCCGGGCGCAGUGCACGCUGACCAGGUGUUAUGGUGUUUCCUCCGACACAUUGGUGCGGCUGGCUUCCGGGUUAAGUGGACAUUGUGUCAAGAAGCAGUGCGGCUUGGCAGGGUCGUGUUUCAGAGGACGCGUGGCUCUCGACCUUCGCCUCUCCAGAGUCCGUACGGGAGUUGCAGCGACGAAACGAACACCAAGAAAAAGGGGUAAAAAGUGUUUAUUAAAAAAUAGAUUUGGAUUCAGGAAGGGGAAGCUGAUCCAAGAUCUGUACAGACCUAGGGGAAACUUCACCCUGGAGCGGGUUAACAGUCAGGGGCUAGAGGUCAGUCCACUUGCAUGUUACGUAGCAGCAGGCCAUUCUUCACCCCUCCCUGCAGCAUCCUGGCACCUAGACUACUGCCAGCCGUACCAUCACUACAGAGAGAUGGAGUGGGAUGGAGGAAGUGAGGGGAAGAGAGAGGGAGAGGAGAGAGGAAGUGAGAGGAGAGAGAGAGGUGGUGGGAGAGAACAUGUGUUGUGUGGAAGUUUGUGUGUUGUGUUGUGUUGUGUGUGUGUGUGAGAGCAGUGCUUACAGGGGGCUGUACUUCCUCUUCUUGGGGUCUGGUGGUUCGGUGGGAAGACCUUUCUCCCUCCUCUCCGCAGCUCCCCCCUCCUGCUGAGAUGACCUCUGUUCCAGGUUUUGCUGAGGUUAGAGGUCAAAGAAAUUGAAUUGUAAAUGUGUGCCAUGUCAGUUAUUUUACUGUUGUCUCCUCUUGUCUCGUGCUGUCAACGGUGUGACGGCCUUCUAAUGCCAACUCUAUAGUCUAAUAUCUCUUGUGUGUAUGAACCCCUGGUAGACUAGCUGUUGUCAUGGUGUCAGCUAAUGGGGAUCCUAAUGCAGAAUAAAGA
This is a long non-coding RNA of Oncorhynchus tshawytscha (Chinook salmon), 2110 nucleotides long. The record is from Ensembl. Lineage: Eukaryota; Metazoa; Chordata; Actinopteri; Salmoniformes; Salmonidae.